GGANGAUAAUGACGGUACCUNUAGAANAAGCNCCUGCGCUAACUUCGCUGCCAGCANCCGCGGUAAUACGAGGGGGGCAAGCGUUGUUCGGAAUUAUUGGGCGUAAAGGGUGCGUAGGCGGUUUGAUAAGUUUUAUGUGAAAUCUAUGGGCUCAACCCAUAGUCUGCNCNGGAAACUKUCGGGCUUGAGAUUGGGAGAGGUGANUGGAAUUUCCGGUGUAGCGGUGAAAUGNGUAGAUAUCUGUAGGAACACCNUGUGGCGAAAGCGGCUCCCUGGNCCAUUUCUGACGCUGAUGCNCGAAAGCUAGGGGAGCAAACAGGAUUAGAUACCCUGGUNGUCCUAGCCCUAAACGAAGUNUUCUUGAUGUGGGG
Molecule: ribosomal RNA, 371 nt
Filed under: uncultured Terriglobales bacterium
Lineage: Bacteria; Pseudomonadati; Acidobacteriota; Terriglobia; Terriglobales
Description: uncultured Acidobacteriales bacterium partial 16S ribosomal RNA
Rfam family: Bacterial small subunit ribosomal RNA
Source: RNAcentral